UUACGGCUAUAUCACGUUGAAACACGGGUUCUCGUACGAUCAUCGAAGUUAAGCAAACUCGAGCCUGGUCAGCACUUAAAUGAGUGACCGCUUGUAAAUAUCAAUGGUCGCAA
This is a non-coding RNA of Acanthosepion pharaonis, 113 nucleotides long. The record is from the annotation of a GenBank genome assembly. NCBI's taxonomy places the organism in Eukaryota, Metazoa, Mollusca, Cephalopoda, Sepiida, Sepiidae.